CCUCAGUCUUCCCACAUAUGUGCUAUGGAGUCAAGAAUCUCUUCAUUUCAGUAAGACUUAAGAUUACAACCACACAAGUUUGUAGAGCAAAUGAAUCCUUGUGAGAAGCCAAAUCUGAUGAAGUUUAAUCUUCUUUCUUUUGGACUUCUUGCUGUGCAUUAUCUGAAAUAGAUAUGAGAAGGGAGUGAAAUGCAUAAAUGCAUCCUUAGGAAGUUUUCGACCAUACUAAACUGGCAAGUGUUGUUGACUCUCUGGAGGAUUGACAGUCCUUGCAGAAGGAUCUAGAGAGCUUGGAGAAAAGGACUAUCAUCAAUGACGUGAAGUACUACAAUGACAAAUGCCAUGUUUUUCACCUGGGAUGGAGUAAUUAUGUAUUACAGAUUGGGAGAUGAGUGGCUGGAGAGCAGCUUAGCAGAAAGGGAUGAAAUCAUAAGCCUCAUGGAUGAGGAAAGAAGGAGUGGAUAUUGUCUUCCCGAAUUCACUGAGACUUUUAACCCUGUCCUCUGUCAUUAAAUCAUAGAGAAUCUGUAAAUCUACAGAUUGAAUCAGCAGACAAUAAAAUGGAUUUGAAACUGUAUGAAAAUCUGGAUCCAUAGGGUAGUCGUCAACAGUGUGAAGUCUAGUUGGAGGGUGGUAAUGAGCAAAACAUCUUAGGAAUCAUUAGUGGGUCAAAUCCUGUUGAAUAUCUUGAUUAAUGAUCUAGGCAAUGAGGUAGAACACAUCCUUAGUAAUUUCACUGCUGAUAAAUAAAUAAAUAAAUAAAUAAGAAUAGAGGGAAUUCUAGAGAGAGAGUUCACUGGAGUGCCACAAAG
RNAcentral lists this long non-coding RNA (812 nucleotides) under Gallus gallus (chicken). RNAcentral's name for it is "lncRNA (ENSGALG00010006181.1)". The record is from RNAcentral. Lineage: Eukaryota; Metazoa; Chordata; Aves; Galliformes; Phasianidae.